GUUUGGAACACGUGUAUCAGAAGUAUCAAAGUACCAUCCUAGCUCGACCACCGCGUACCCAUCACUAUGAAACUGUUCUGGCUCUGUAACAUUCACGCUAGAAUACUUCUCGCUUGUAAGAAAAGCAACAUUGCAUCCUCCUUCUCUUGUGUUGUUGUUACCUUCAGGGAUCUCCAAAUCAACUCCUAGAACUUGCGGCUCCCCUUCUGGUUGAUUUGCAACCGAUGAUCUGCGAUUUGAUAUCCGUCAUAACCGCCUUGGCAUUGCAACCAACCGCCACGAGUUGGUUCUUGUCCGUGAAGAAAUAAGGGCUGCCUUGGCCGGUGGCACUCAAAGGCGGCGGUGUAAGCGGCUGAGAUGAUCCUGUAGAACAACCAGAGGAAGUCACGGGACCUUUGAUGUGAACAACUCCAUAAGAAUAGUACACGUGAUCGUCUGGAAGAUAGAUGUUCACCAAUUCUCUGUUGAUCCUUGAGAGAACCGGAACAGAGUUGCUUUUACAGACAGCCUCGUACCACGGGUUUAGAUAGCAGUCUUUCCCUACACCAAACGGAAAUGGAAUUGAUAGUCCUCCGCAGACUCUGUUACACGGAUCUGGAGGUUUUCUUGAUGAUGAGACGCCAUUGAUGAACAGAGAGGUCACUAGUAUAAUAACAACUAGGAGGCUGUGAGUCUUUGUCAUCAUACUGAUUAUGUUCUUGUGUUUCUCUACUUGGUCUGAUCUUCUAAAAAUCUUCUAGUAUUGUGAAAAUGGAAGGGAGAAAAGGAAUCAAGAUUCAGCAUUGUCGGAGGAGAUGAGAUUACAUGAAAUGCGUGGAGAGAGAUGCAAAAAAAGAGUUGACCGGAUUAGUAUGAUUAACCAUGCUAAAAUGGCAAUGAUAUGGCUAGUUGAUAGAUCACGUGGACUUUCUUAGUUUUGGACCAAUCAAAACCAGCAUGAAAGUCAAAUAUCUAAGUUGAAUUUAUAUCCGAGUAAUAAAUAAAAUACCAGUCGACAAAA
This is a long non-coding RNA of Brassica napus (rape), 1000 nucleotides long. RefSeq lists it as uncharacterized. The transcript has 2 exons. The record is from RefSeq and is a predicted model, not a curated record. NCBI's taxonomy places the organism in Eukaryota, Viridiplantae, Streptophyta, Magnoliopsida, Brassicales, Brassicaceae.